Molecule: ribosomal RNA, 505 nt
Filed under: uncultured bacterium
Lineage: Bacteria
Description: partial 16S ribosomal RNA
Rfam family: Bacterial small subunit ribosomal RNA
Source: RNAcentral
GACGGACGCUGGCGGCGUGCCUAAUACAUGCCAGUAGAACGCACAGUUUAUACCGUAGCUUGCUACACCAUAGACUGUGAGUUGCGAACGGGUGAGUAACGCGUAGGUAACCUGCCUGGUAGCGGGGGAUAACUAUUGGAAACGAUAGCUAAUACCGCAUAAUAUUAAUUAUUGCAUGAUAAUUGAUUGAAAGAUGCAACUGCAUCACUACCAGAUGGACCUGCGUUGUAUUAGCUAGUAGGUGAGGUAACGGCUCACCUAGGCGACGAUACAUAGCCGACCUGAGAGGGUGAUCGGCCACACUGGGACUGAGACACGGCCCAGACUCCUACGGGAGGCAGCAGUAGGGAAUCUUCGGCAAUGGACGAAAGUCUGACCGAGCAACGCCGCGUGAGUGAAGAAGGGUUUCGGAUCGUAAAGCUCUGUUGUAAGAGAAGAACGGGUAUGAGAGUGGAAAGUUCACACUGUGACGGUAUCUUACCAGAAAGGGACGGCUAACUACGUG